AUGCAUUGGUCUGAGAAGCCUAUCAGCUGGAGCCGGGCCGAUCACCCAGAGGUGAUGCCGUCUCCCGGCUCUUACGCGUUGGUAUUGGACGCCACCCUCGCGACAGAAAGGCGAGCUGCCCGCUUCUCCCGAGUACUGAUUGACGGAGGGAGCAGCAUCAACAUACUGUACCGUGACACCAUGGAGAAGCUGAACAUCAAGACGAAGCAACUCAUGCCAAGCCAGACUGUGUUCCAUGGCAUCGUACCCGGCCUGUCCUGCUCACCAAUCGGCAAGAUCAAGAUAGAUGUUCUCUUCGGAGACAAGGAUCACUUCCGCCGAGAAGUAGUCUGGUUUGAAGUGGUGGAUCUAGAGAGCCCUUACCAUGCGUUGCUUGGCCGACCUGCCUUGGCCAAGUUCAUGGCUGUGCCCCACUACGCCUACCUCAAGAUGAAGAUGCCUAGUUCGAAGGGAAUCAUCACCAUAGCCGGAGACUACAAGAAAUCCUCCGAGUGUGCUGCGACCAGCAGCCGGCUGGCCGAGUCCCUCGUGAUUGCCGAAGAAAAGAAGAUGCUGGACCGAGUCGUGGCCAUGGCCAGCAAGCAGUCGGCCCUGUCCCCUGACCCCAAGGAGUAUGAUGCUCAAGGCUCCUUCCAGCCGGCCAAGGAAACAAAGAAGAUACUUCUGGACCCAGAGAACCCGGAGAGGUUUGCCGUCAUAGGUGCGAACCUUGAUGGCAAAUAG
RNAcentral lists this ribosomal RNA (723 nucleotides) under Triticum aestivum (bread wheat). RNAcentral describes it as "partial small subunit ribosomal RNA". Lineage: Eukaryota; Viridiplantae; Streptophyta; Magnoliopsida; Poales; Poaceae. The record is from RNAcentral.